Long non-coding RNA from Myiozetetes cayanensis, 7132 nucleotides. RefSeq lists it as uncharacterized. The record is from RefSeq and is a predicted model, not a curated record. Lineage: Eukaryota; Metazoa; Chordata; Aves; Passeriformes; Tyrannidae. The transcript is spliced from 4 exons.
UUUUUUGGGGAGGGGGAAGGGGGAGGCUGCCCCAGUGCGCGCUCGGUCCCGCUGGCGCGGUGAGCGGGCAGCGCCGCCGCCCGCGGGGGUGUCGGGCCCGGCGCGGAGCGGAGCGCGGUGUCCGCGGGGCCGCCGGCGGCGCCGCGCAGGGUCGGAGGCAACCGCCUGCCCCGACCCUCCUCCGCCCGGUUCGGCCUUAUAUUUAAUACAUGCCCUUUCAUCUAUUAUUCAGGCGUUUCUGACUCCAGUUGUGUCUCGGCUCCCAUUUACGCCUGCACACCUUUCUCCUUCCCCUUCCCAAAGGGUCAGCCGAGACACUCGCCGAGGGAGGAAGAGAGCUGCUCUGCUGGUCUGGGUUUUGUCUGCUUAAACAUUGAACUGGAAAAGAUUCCUCCUCUCUGUGGUUUGAUAAAUAAUAAAAGUGAUCGUUUCCCUUUCCCCAUAAAUGACACAGGUAAAUUACCCAGCUAGCCACAAAGAAGCAUCACAUGCCUAGAAGACACUGUAAUAAAAUGCCAAUGUAUUACGAUAUGAGUGACCUCAAAAGUGUGACAAGAAGAUGAUUACAGUGCAUUAUAUGUAGUGCCUUUUUCAACGUUUUCUGAAGCAUGAAUGAACCUUCGUUUGACUGUGCUUUUAUUGCUAGCUUUUCUCAGCUUGAACUUACAAGCUGUAUGACAGAACCUAUCUAAUUUAGUAUGCCCAGGUGUGUGGCCACACUGGCCUCUGGUUCUGUUUAAGCCUUCCAAAUAUAUCUGUGUAGAAAAAAACAAAGAUAACAUCAGUAUUUGACUUUAUGUGGUGCUAUCUGAUUUGCAUAUUUUCAGUUGAUAGCGUUGUGAGCUAACGAUCCAAGUUCUACCUUGAAGAUUUUACAUUUUCAGACGCAGGCUCCUACCCUUAGACUCCCAUAUGUAUCUGCAUGUAGGACGCACUGUUAACUUGCUACUUGCACCUGUCAGAGGUCAGUAAUUUGCAUGGCUUGGAAUUGUGUGGCAUACUGAUAAAUGUACAUAUCCUUGCAAGUCAUACGGAUGCAGACGCUGUAUGUGAACAUUGCACAUCCUCUAAUCCCAUGAUGUGUAAAGAUUAAACGCUCUUAGUUUUGCUGUGCUUUGUAUUUGUUUCCAAAAGACUUCUGUUACAGAUACACAUGGAAAAAAAUUGAUCCCGGUUUUGAUGAUAUCAAGUAACACUAGAAAAGGGAACUGAAUCUAAUAAUAGUUCAAGAAGAAUGUUCAUUAUGUAAUACAGGAAGGAUGGCUAGAGCCCUGGCAUUGAAAGUCAAGCAAGUGACAUGAAGGAGCAACCUUACUGCCAAACCUUAGAAAAAAAAUUCUAUGAAUGAAUGAAGUACACAGUUCUUUUACCUUUUAAAAUACAAAGCAGAACAGCCAUUAAUAAAGAAGGUAAUUAGAACUACUAGCAUUCUGUGUAAUGCAGUCUACUUCUGAAAUACGGCAUGUUUAUGUAUGCAUUAAUAAUGCACACAUUUUUCCUGACACUAGUCAUAUCACAGCAGUAUAGCAUCACAGACAUUUUAUAGCCUCAUUCUAGUAACAUCUCAGGCAUAUAACAUUCUUAUUCUAAUCACGCCAUAGUCAUUUCAAUGUCACAUUGUAGUCACAUCACAUAGCCUGGUAAUAAUUAUUUAACUUUAUUGCUAAGCUGAAUAGUUUUCUGUUUGCUCAGGGAUGACUUAAACUUGUAGUCGGAACCGAUUAGCACAUACUCAUAAAUGAGCUCUUCUCAGGUACACAGGGUAGACUCAUGUAAAGUUAGGAAGAAAAAAAAAAGUCAAUAAACUAGUGUCCAUUGGUUUUAAACCGAACGCAGUCACAAGUUGCAAUAAUAGCACAUUUUUGCCGUUUUCUGUAGUAAUUUUAGAAAGCCAAAGAUGUUUACAUGCAGAUCUGUCAUGUUAAUGUUUAUGUACUUGCUUUAAAACACUGUAGUUCUUUAGCUAAUCAUACAUUAUUAACCUCAUGGAAGGGGCAGGUCUUCAAACCGUAGUAUUUGCACAAAGGAUUGAGGCCCAGAGUAUCAAAGAGGUGAGAACUUUCACAACUGCUUCUAAUAAUGAGAGAAAAAGAAUGGAAAGGGCUGAGUUCCUGAGAAGGAGUUGGAGUUGCCCAGUGUAGCAUUAACGCCACCUCUGAAAUAUGAGAAAUUGCUCUGAAAUAUGUCCAGUGUUCUCUUGAGUAGCCAUUUUUAUCCUCCAGUAGAUGUUUAUUCCCUCACUCUUAAAUUUGAGAAAACUGCAGUAUUUGGUGUUACACUCUCCUCCAAUGCAGCUCUGUGUCAUUAUUUAUACUGUUUCUUAAUAGUCACCUUUCUGCUGUGAUGUAUUAGCUUUUUGUCUGUGUGUAAGAACACUGAACUCAUAAUCACAUCACAACCUAUUAAGAUGACUUGCACAGUAUAGAAUAUUAACUAUCCAUCCACAUCAUUACUUGUUAUCUGCAGCUCGGUAUUAUUAUGUAUCAAAUUCUUUUCCAUACCGUUUUUGACUCAAAUUCUAGCAUGCUAGAAACUGACUCCAAUUAUUCUGUACUAGCUAUAGUCAAAUUGCACUAAAUGGAAUUGCUUACAUUGUAUCAUAGUGGCUAUGGGCUCACACAAUGCAUUAUACAUGAAAGUGAUUCACAUUAUGCUUUGCUAACUAAAGACUUUAAUCUUGAAGUGUUGAGCAUAAAAUGCUGUCAUUCUUCACUGAACUGGCUCUGGUCACUUGAUCAUUUUGUACCUGGGAUUGCCUCUUACAGGCUGUUAUUAUUAAAGCAAAAUGGCUUUUCCUCUUCUGCAGUUCUACCACUUUCUGUGGAGAGCUGAUUCAUAUGCUAAUGAAUGAGCUUUCUUAUUUCAUGCCGUAGCACUGUAACACUGGAACCUGACCUGUGGUGCACCUAUAGGAUGCCCCCUUCAGUCCAGCAUAGUGAAAAAAUGCAUUACUAAAAUCCACUGUGUUCAGAUAGCAGAUUAUGUGCUAAUCAUUUAGCAAUCCUUAAUAUUAUCCUCAGAAAUCUUGUUUCUGAAUGCUGCUUAAAUCAUUGGUACAUAUAUCCUUGGUCCCAUAUGCAAUAGGAAAUAUUCAAGGCCAAAUUAGUGGUCCUGCUGAGGUUUUUCAGGGUGUUCUUUACAUUGUUGUCUCUGGAAGAAGAAGAGAUUAAGAGUGUGGCAGGCAAAGAAGUGAAGACUCCCCCUGUUACAGAUGGUUUUUAAUCCAUGAAGUAGUCCACUUCCACAAGGUCAGACAUUCAUUCUCUUUUAACUGGCACUGACAUUGCUGUGUCCUUGACUUGGGCUUCUGCCACAAUUGAUUCUCACAGUAACCUCAGGAAACCCACUUCUUACAAGAAGUACUGGGUCAAAAAGUGGUGCUUAUAAUCUGCUGCACUCCUAACCCCAGUGUUUCAGGGAGUCAGUGAAGAUGAGAUGGGAAUGCCAUAAAGGCAGGAGCAGCAUAUGGAGAGGAUUGUGGAGCAUGUCAAGCAUGUUUCUCCUUGCAAGCAUGAUGCUUUGGUCCUGGCUUUAUGCACAUAAUGGUUUGGAAUUCAGGAGCUUGCUUCAGAGUUUCCUUCUCUUCUUGGGUAGAAGGAUUGGACCUGGAGUCUUUAUUUACAUAAGUAGUCCAAAUGAAGUCAAUCAAAAUAUUUUGGGUAAUGUAAAUGAUACAUAACUAUAGCAUUUCAAAAAGCCAGUAAUUGAAUUAUAAAUUAUAUUUAUUUAAUAUACUAAUUUUUGUAAUUUCAAAGUGUAUUUAAUUGUUUUUUAGAAUGGUUGUGAGAGCUCUAGGAAAGGAAAAAAAGCAGUUCAGGACUAUAUAUUAAUCUGUACUCUUAAAUAAACAAUAGCUAAGUCAGUUAAUGAUUAAUAAUUUAAACCAAUUGAACUGCUGAGAUGGAGCAAUAAUUGCAGAAUUGGGCCCUUUUAAUGUAUCUUUCUUCAGGAAAAUAAACUCAGUCCCUGGAUAAUCAAAUCACAAAAGGGGCAGGUGAUGACCUUCAUUCCGUUUGAAUGGCAGAACUAAAUUUAACUGAAUUUGCCAUUUUUUUUUGACUGACAAAGAUUGCAAAUGUCAGUUCGUGGCUCUGAAGGGUCUACAAAUGCACAAGCUGAAAACUGGCAUUUUGCAGUGCCAGUGUUUAAUCUCUGUCACUGUACAAUACAGCAAGGUGCCCAACUCCCAUUAAUUAUUGCUGUUUGUUUAAAGGUAGAGAUUAAUGUACAGGCUUGAAUUGUUUGCUUGAAAAUGUGUGGAGCUUUUUCUCCCUCAGAGGGCUUUAGUAACUAUUUACUAUAACAAUAAAAAUCCAUUUGGAUAUAACUAAAAGAGAAUAAUAAGUGCUGUUUAAAAUGUAAUUAUCAGACCACUUAAAAUAGAUGUAAUUGCACGUGGCACCAGGAGAAAAAAAACGCUUAGUUCUUUGCUACACUCAUGUCACCUGUUACAAUGGAAGUACCUGAUGAAUCAGAACACAGAAGCAGAUUCCAACCAAUGUGAUUUUGAGUAAGGUGAAAAUAUUCCAAAACCUGCAAAUAACCUGAUGGCUUAUUGAUGCUUUAUUGUUUAAAAAGGGAACAAAUAAAAAUACAGAAAAAGAAAGGAAGUCUAAAGGUAUUCAGAUGAAAAAAUGUCUGAAGAAAGCUUUACUGAGGCAUUUCAUUUCCAUCAAAACGGUAAUGUAGAUCUGAUAGAUGGAGUUGUGCUGAUGCAAUGUUGACAGGAUCAGAAUGAGACCCAAAAUAUAGAAUGAGACCUCCUUCAGGCAUUGUCGUGGUUUACCAGGACAGGCAUUUACUUUGUUUUUCUGCUUUCAACUUCUGACCUACUUCUUGAUUGCACAGAAAGUAGAAAACGCUCAGUUUAAAUCAAUAUAUAUACUCACUCUAACUUGCAUUAGUGAGAUUGACAUCUUUACAUCUGGAUUUGAACCUAAAUAUCUUCUCUUUUUCAAUCCUACUCUGAUGUCAGUCAUGCCUCACCAUUUACAAAAGGUUACUAAGGCUUGAUUAAACUCUAUGUCCUCUGGGGAAAAAAAACAACUCGUUUGACAUAGACAUAUCUUCAUUCUUUAAAUUACAGAGAGGCAGGCAGACAGAUGACUAAUUUCUGUUUAAAAGCAUCAUGCUGUUAUGAUUGCUUCUUCUAAUUUCUAAUACUUUUGCUUUUCUUAAUAUUCCAGUUAAACCAAGGCAUCUAUGUUUUUGAGGUUUUAUUUUUGGGGAGUGUGUUCUGGUGGUAGAAAUACUACAAAAGCUACACCCUACUGUUGAGCAGAUGAUGCCCAUCUAUUUACUAUGCAUAUGCACGGAAGGGAAGAGCACAGAUUCCUCCAUCACAUCCCUUUUCCAUGGCCCAGUGGCGUGGCUGUGAUUCUCAAAGACCCUUUGUUCUUCAGAGCUCAAAAGCUGUAAAAGAGAAGAUGGAGGGGCACUGUGAGACUGACUGCUCUCUGGACAGAGCUCAAGAGGCAGCAUACGCAAUAGAGGGAAAGCACCUGAGUUUGAUAUUGUGUUUUUAACUUUUGGCAAAGUAUGCUGUGCUGGGACUACUUUGCACCACCACAGGUCAUCAGGGAGGUUUAUAAGGAUCCAAAGAAGAAUCUAAGUACUGCAAUACCUAAUUUCUAAGAUCUCUGCAGACAAAUUGUGUUUUCUCCAUUUUUUUCAAUGCAUGGGGAAAGAGAGGUGUCACAGAAACUUACAAGCCAGUUAGGGAUUCACAUGAAAUAGUAAAGCUCUUUGAAAACUGAGGAUAGAGAAAGGUAUCAAACCCUUACUCAAGAAGACAUGCCUGUUUCUUUGACACAAGAAUUCUUUUCUAUAAGACCCCCAUGCACCACUUUUGCACACUGCUAUGCAAAACCUGACAAAUAAAAACUGAACAAUAGGAAAGUCUGCAGAGGAGUCCUAACCACUCUUAACAUAGGAAUAGAGUAGUCGUCUCAAAGGAGGCCAGUGUUAGAGGUGAGCAUUCAGUUCUCAGUCUGUCCCAGGAGACUACUAAGGGACUGGAUAAAGGUGUUUUGUGUGAUGCUGUUCAAACAGGUAAGAGAGUUGACCAUACUGGAAGUCCCUGGUGAGGCCAGCCCUUUUACAGCCUUACCAGGGUAUAAGCAUAAAGGAGUACAGUAGUAUCAGAAUCUCUAUUAUGGAGAUCACUAGACAGGGAAUAAAGGUCUUCAGUGUCCUAUAGAUGAACAGGGCAGUCCAGAAGGCUUCUGAGCGACAUAGUAAAGCCACAGUGUCGGUGCUAGGUGUACAAGUCCUUUUGCAGAUGUAGCCUAAUGUGACAGUGACACACCAAAAUAUAUUUAUAGCAGAUCACUAGUAUACAGUCUAAAUUUAGUGUGAAUUCUUCAGCACUGCAGGCUACAUUUUUUUUUUAAGUUUCAAAUUUCCCCAGACCUCCAAUGUAAGCUGUUAUCCUGUCAUUAAUGUUACACGUCAGUGUAUGGACAGAUGUCAUGUUUUCUAAAAGAUGAAAAGGUGCUUGUCACAAGUGUAAGUAUCUGUCUGUGAUCCAAGUAGCACUGCAAAUAACACUUUCUUAUUCUCUUUCUGUUUCAUCUGUGUUUAAGCAGACUAAAGAAGAAAUUUAAAGAGUGUAAGAGACUCUCAGAAGUCCAUGUAGCUUGUUGAAAGAUCAUGAAGAGAUAUGUAACAAUAUUUAGAAAAUUACUAAUACGUUCUGGAACAAAGCUUUCCCUUUUAGUAAAAGGCAUUUCUGUUUUCCUGUUGGAUUCCAUGACUUGUCAGAUAUAUGAAUAAAAAUAUGGAAAUAUUCUAGAAUAAAAAGUAAGGUUUAUCUUCUUAGAUCCAUUUGUCUUCUCAAAGAGAUUUAACUUUUUUCUUUACCUGCGAAAUACCAGGAUGAACAACAACAAAAAAUGAUAACAAAAAGAAACAAAUAUUAGCAAAAUGUGAGCAUGAAAGAAUUGCAAUGUCUGUACAGAGCCAAGUAUUUCAAUUUUUGAGUGUUUGGGGAUCUCUGGAAUUUUUGAAAUAAAGAAUUAUCACUCCUGUAAACUACAAAAUAAUUUCUAAAUGCCUAAAGAAAACAAAUAGAAAUUUCUUUAAAGAAUAAAACCGUUUAAAUGUUCAAUCUGGACAAGUUGUCUCAGCUCAU